UAGGGAAUCUUCGGCAAUGGGGGCAACCCUGACCGAGCAACGCCGCGUGAGUGAAGAAGAUUUUCGGAUCGUAAAGCUCUGUUGUAAGAGAAGAACGUGUGUGAGAGUGGAAAGUUCACACAGUGACGGUAACUUACCAGAAAGGGACGGCUAACUACGUGCCGG
RNAcentral lists this ribosomal RNA (165 nucleotides) under uncultured bacterium. RNAcentral describes it as "partial 16S rRNA". It matches the Rfam family "Bacterial small subunit ribosomal RNA", at positions 355 to 511 of the family's 1533-position model. The record is from RNAcentral.